AUGCUCACCGUCCACAGUUGCAGCAAAAAACAAAUAGCAUUGAGCGCAACAGCCUGCAUACUGAUGUUCUCCCUGCUCCUCUUCAUUUUUUGUUCACUUCAGACCAUAUUCCUCAACGACAAACCUUUCGUCAUCGCCACAGCAUCUUCUAGAUCAUUGCAUGAGAUCGACUCCAAUUCAAAGCCUAUUAACGGGCUUCAAAUUUUUUCAUUGGAGGUUAUUGCUAACCUGAGUGCCAGCAAGGUGGAAACUGGACAGCAGAUGGAAGGCGGCACUCAUAACAUUACCAACGUGACUGAGAAUGCGACAUCUGGGUGGAGCAUUGUGAAGGAGGAGCUGACGUUUUCAGCUGGAAGUGCACCUUUCAGUAGCUGCCAUGCUUCCACCAUUGUAGAGAUUGGGAAAGACAACUUUUUGGUGGCUUAUUUUGGUGGAUCCAAGGAAGGUGCUCCGGAUGUCAAAAUCUGGUUGCAGAGAUACAGUGAUGGUCACUGGCAUCCUCCAGAAGUUGCUGAUGAGCAAGAUGGGGUGCCCAUGUGGAAUCCUGUACUAUUUCAGCUCCCCUCUCAUGAGCUGCUGCUCUUCUACAAGAUUGGUCAGGAAGUUCAGAAGUGGAGUGGUGCCAUGAAAAGAUCGCUGGAUGGCGGCAUAUCCUGGUCAGAGAGAGAGCAGCUACCGCCUGGUAUUCUUGGCCCUAUUAAGAACAAGCCUUUCCUGCUUGAAGAUGGUCGCCUACUAUGUGGGUCCUCAGUAGAAAGCUGGAACUCUUGGGGUGCAUGGCUGGAGGUCACAAAAGAUGGUGGCAGGACAUGGCGGAAGCACGGUCCUAUAUACAUAGAAGGUGAAACACUUGGGGUGAUUCAGCCAGUUCCAUACCAAACUGCCAAUGGGACAAUUCGGAUGCUUUUGCGAUCUUUUGAGACAAUUGGCCGUGUCUGCCUGGCCGAUUCUGCCGAUGGUGGUGUGACAUGGAGUUACGCGCAUAAGACUGAGCUUCCUAAUCCAAAUUCUGGGAUCGAUGGAGUUAAGAUGAAGGAUGGAAGAGUACUAGUUGCUUACAACACUUUCUCCAGGGGCACACUUAAGAUUGCAGUCUCCAUGGAUGACGGUGAUUCAUGGAACGAAGUAAUGACACUAGAGGACACCAAAGGUAUGGAGUUCUCAUAUCCUGCGGUAAUCCAGACCAUGGAUGAGCUCGUACAUAUUACAUACACAUACAACCGGACGCAGAUUAAGCAUGUCGUUCUUCGGCAUAGUGAGACAUGA
This 1266-nucleotide ribosomal RNA is filed under the name Triticum aestivum (bread wheat). RNAcentral describes it as "partial small subunit ribosomal RNA". Lineage: Eukaryota; Viridiplantae; Streptophyta; Magnoliopsida; Poales; Poaceae. The record is from RNAcentral.